AAAAUAGAGAUACCUAGCAAAAACCUCCAAUAUCGUAUUUUAACAAAAACCAGUAACAUAAAAAUCUCUUGACGAAAAAAAUCAAAAUCCAUUCGAUUUGGGAGUUGCUUCCGAAAUGGCUCCGAAGCCGAAAGAGAAAGCAAAGGCAUCUGCAGUAGCAAUCCCUGCUAUAUCAAUUGAAGAUCUCUUCACUUCGCUUAAUCGCCACAUUCAACGAUCCGAGUAUGAGCAAGCCGUCAAAGUUUCUGAUCAAAUUCUUGCGGCUGCGCCUGGAGAUGAGGACGCGAUACGGUGUAAAGUGGUGGCGUUAGUGAAAUCAGAUUCUAUAGAAGAAGCAUUGGUUGCUAUUAAAGACUGUAGCAAAAAGGGUUCUGUUGAUCUUAGCUUCUUUAAGGCAUAUUGCUUGUAUCGGCAAAAUAAAUUGGAGGAGGCUUUAGAGUCCUUGAAGGGGCAAGAAGGAAGUACUGAGUCAAUGCUGUUGGAAUCUCAGAUUUUGUAUCGAUUAGGAAAGAUGGGUACAUCUGUCGAUAUUUAUCAAAAGCUCCCAAAGUCUACGAUAGAUUCCUUGGAGAUAAAUCUUGUUGCUGGUCUGGUUUCUGCUGGAAGGUCUUCUGAAGUGCAGGGAACCUUGGAUUCACUGAGAGUUAAAGCAACUAGCAGUUUUGAAUUGGCUUACAACACUGCCUGCUCUUUAAUUGAAAGGGAGAAGUACAAAGAUGCCGAACAACUGUUAUUGUCAGCUCGAAGAAUUGGUCAGGAAGCACUUAUGGAAGAGAAUUUAGCUGAUGAUGAUGUUGAAAUUGAAUUGGCACCUAUAGCUGUUCAAAUUGCAUAUGUACAACAGAUUCUAGGGAACACCCAAGAGGCUGUUGCAUCGUAUACUGAUCUUGUCAAAAGAAAUUUGGCUGACGAGUCUUCACUUGCAGUGGCAGUAAAUAAUCUCAUUGCUUUAAAGGGUCCUAAAGAUGUCUCUGAUGGCCUAAGGAAACUUGAUAAGCUAAUAGAGAAAAGUGAUGGACCAGAGAAGUUCCAGCUUGCACGUGGACUAGACUUGAAGCUCUCACAGAAGCAAAGGGAAGCAAUAUAUACCAAUAGGGUGCUGCUGCUACUUCAUUCUAAUAAGAUGGAUCAGGCUAGAGAACUUGUUAGUGCUCUACCUGGGAUGUUCCCUGGUAGCUUGAUGCCUGUACUUCUUCAAGCUGCUGUACAUGUGAGAGAGAACAAGGCUGCUAAAGCUGAAGAAAUACUUGGACAGUAUGCAGAUAAGUUUCCUGACAGGUCCAAGGUUAUCCUGCUUGCAAGGGCUCAGGUUGCUGCAGCUGCUGGCCAUCCACAGAUAGCAGCCGAUUCCUUAGAGAAAAUACCUGACAUUCAACACAAGCCUGCAACUGUUGCGACCAUUGUUUCUCUCAAGGAACGGGCUGGUGAUACUGAUGGUGCUGAUGCUGUGUUUGAUUCCGCAAUCAAGUGGUGGUCAAAUGCCAUGACUGAAGACAAUAAGCUCAAUACCAUCAAUGCAGGAGGCUGCUGCUUUCAAGCUCAGGCAUGGAAGGAAAGAGGAGGCAGCACGCCUUUAUGAGCAGCUAGUGAAAAGCCAUGGAAGUAUUGAGGCUUUAGUUGGAUUAAUCCAGACUGCAGCCCAUGGUGACAUUUGAGAAAGCAGAAGCUUAUGAGAAGCAGUUAAAACCACUACCUGGUUUGAAAGCAAUAGAUGUCGACAGUUUGGAGAAAACUUCUGGUGCCAAGCAUGCCGAGAAAGGCCCGAAUGCUGGUGUCACUGAAACAUAUGAAGCGAAGAGUAAGGAUAAGGCAAAGAAAAAGAGGAAGAGAAAGCCAAAAUAUCCAAAGGGCUUUGACCCGGCUAAUCCAGGACCUCCACCUAAUCCAGAGAGGUGGCUUCCCAAGAGGGAGAGGUCUAGUUACAGACCAAAGAGAAAGGAUAAGAGAGCAGCUCAAAUUAGAGGUUCUCAAGGUGCAGUGGCUAAAGAGGCAGCGAGCAAUAGCGAUACAAAAUCAAACCAGCCAGCUAAUCCAAAAGGAGGCACUCAGAAUGCAAGCACUGUGCAAUCAAAGGCUUCAUCCAAAUCUUCCAGGAAGAAAUCAAGGAAGUAAUCCAACAACAGAUAACCAAUGUUUCUUUGUUAUUGUUUCGGUGGAUUCUUUUUGCCUGAUUCGUUUCGCAUGUUUGUUGUACAACACGAGUUAGUCUCGGAGAUGUCCAUUUAUCUAUUGGUAACUUUUUGUACUUUUUCAUACAUAAGGUUGUAGGGGAGGGGCAUUGUUGCUUGCAUCUGAAGUUAACCUACCUUAAUCAGAUUUGGAAAGGUCUCAUUUACUUGGUUCUGUUAGGUCUAAAAUAUUUAGGAUUGUGGCAUCAAUGGAUGGAUGAGCUAUUUUGUU
This is an RNA transcript of Solanum tuberosum (potato), 2400 nucleotides long. It is a transcript of the gene named signal recognition particle subunit SRP72-like, with no coding region annotated. Lineage: Eukaryota; Viridiplantae; Streptophyta; Magnoliopsida; Solanales; Solanaceae. The transcript has 6 exons. The record is from RefSeq and is a predicted model, not a curated record.